RNAcentral lists this transfer RNA (72 nucleotides) under Lachnospiraceae bacterium NE2001. It matches the Rfam family "tRNA". Rfam says of the family: Transfer RNA (tRNA) molecules are approximately 80 nucleotides in length. Their secondary structure includes four short double-helical elements and three loops (D, anti-codon, and T loops). Further hydrogen bonds mediate the characteristic L-shaped molecular structure. tRNAs have two regions of fundamental functional importance: the anti-codon, which is responsible for specific mRNA codon recognition, and the 3' end, to which the tRNAs corresponding amino acid is attached (by aminoacyl-tRNA synthetases). tRNAs cope with the degeneracy of the genetic code in two manners: having more than one tRNA (with a specific anti-codon) for a particular amino acid; and 'wobble' base-pairing, i.e. permitting non-standard base-pairing at the 3rd anti-codon position. The record is from Rfam by way of RNAcentral. Lineage: Bacteria; Bacillati; Bacillota; Clostridia; Lachnospirales; Lachnospiraceae.
UUCUGGGUAGAACAACGGUAGUUCAACUCCCUGUUAAGGAGACGGUUGCAGGUUCGAUUCCUGUCCCAGGAG